ACACCCUACGGGAGGCAGCAGUGAGGAAUAUUGGCCAAUGGGCGGAAGCCUGAACCAGCCAAGUCGCGUGAGGGAAUAAGGCCCUACGGGUCGUAAACCUCUUUUGCCGGGGAGCAAGGGCCGGGACGCGUCCCGGCCCGGAGAGUACCCGGAGAAAAAGCGUCGGCUAACUCCGUGCCAGCAGCCGCGGUAAUACGGAGGAUGCGAGCGUUAUCCGGAUUUAUUGGGUUUAAAGGGUGCGUAGGCGGGCUUUUAAGUCAGCGGUAAAAAUUCGGGGCUCAACCCCGUCUGGCCGUUGAAACUGG
This 305-nucleotide ribosomal RNA is filed under the name uncultured bacterium. Its description in RNAcentral is "bacterial SSU rRNA". It matches the Rfam family "Bacterial small subunit ribosomal RNA", at positions 333 to 636 of the family's 1533-position model. The record is from RNAcentral.